AACCCAUGGUGAAAGCACUGUCUCAAUAAGUCCUUAUACCUCUUCCAUGCAUCAUAUAAGGUCUCUAAGCCAAUCUGAACAAAAGGAAGAGAUAUCAUUUCUCAACUU
This is a small nucleolar RNA of Gossypium arboreum, 108 nucleotides long. It matches the Rfam family "Plant small nucleolar RNA R71". Rfam says of the family: R71 is a member of the C/D box family of snoRNAs containing the C (UGAUGA) and D (CUGA) box motifs. Multiple nearly identical copies of this snoRNA have been identified in Arabidopsis, and it is thought to function as a 2'-O-ribose methylation guide for 18S ribosomal RNA. Lineage: Eukaryota; Viridiplantae; Streptophyta; Magnoliopsida; Malvales; Malvaceae. The record is from Rfam.